RNAcentral lists this ribosomal RNA (415 nucleotides) under uncultured bacterium. RNAcentral describes it as "bacterial SSU rRNA". It matches the Rfam family "Bacterial small subunit ribosomal RNA", at positions 355 to 787 of the family's 1533-position model. The record is from RNAcentral.
UCGGGAAUAUUGCGCAAUGGAGGAAACUCUGACGCAGUGACACCGCGUAUAGGAAGAAGGUUUUCGGAUUGUAAACUAUUGUCGUGAGGGAAGAAAUUGGCAGUACCUCAGGAGGAAGCUCCGGCUAACUAUGUGCCAGCAGCCGCGGUAAUACAUAGGGAGCAAGCGUUAUCCGGAAUUAUUGGGUGUAAAGGGUGCGUAGACGGGAAAUUAAGUUAGUUGUGAAAUCCCUCGGCUUAACUGAGGAACUGCAACUAAAACUAUCUUUCUUGAGUGUUGGAGAGGAAAGUGGAAUUCCUAGUGUAGCGGUGAAAUGCGUAGAUAUUAGGAGGAACACCAGUGGCGAAGGCGACUUUCUGGACAAUAACUGACGUUGAGGCACGAAAGUGUGGGGAGCAAACAGGAUUAGAUACCC